This 68-nucleotide ribosomal RNA is filed under the name Cryptosphaeria eunomia var. fraxini. RNAcentral's name for it is "partial 18S ribosomal RNA". Lineage: Eukaryota; Fungi; Ascomycota; Sordariomycetes; Xylariales; Diatrypaceae. The record is from RNAcentral.
GGGAUCAUUACAGAGUUAUUUAACUCCUAAACCCCAUGUGAACUUACCUAUGUUGCCUCGGCGGGGAA